This 107-nucleotide small nucleolar RNA is filed under the name Gossypium hirsutum (cotton). Its description in RNAcentral is "Plant small nucleolar RNA R71". It matches the Rfam family "Plant small nucleolar RNA R71". From Rfam's summary of the family: R71 is a member of the C/D box family of snoRNAs containing the C (UGAUGA) and D (CUGA) box motifs. Lineage: Eukaryota; Viridiplantae; Streptophyta; Magnoliopsida; Malvales; Malvaceae. The record is from Rfam by way of RNAcentral.
AUUCCAUGAUGAAGGCACUUCCGUAAUAAUUCUUUGUACCUUUCCCAUGCCUCAAACAAGGACUCUACAUCCAUUUGUUGGAAAGUAGUGAUCUCAUUCCUUAACUU